AGGCGACCAACGGCUUAAGACGCACUAGGCUGGUAAGAAGCAGCAGAGGAAUCUACGAAAAGCUGCUCUGUUUUCAGAAAAGGCUUCCAGCCUCAUCUCAUUGUGGACGGUUUGAUUUGUGGCCUAGCAUAUGGUCUAGCUGGAGAAGGCCCAGCCUGCUGUGGCGGUACA
This is a long non-coding RNA of Microtus oregoni (creeping vole), 171 nucleotides long. RefSeq lists it as uncharacterized. The transcript is spliced from 4 exons. Lineage: Eukaryota; Metazoa; Chordata; Mammalia; Rodentia; Cricetidae. The record is from RefSeq and is a predicted model, not a curated record.